Molecule: unclassified non-coding RNA, 333 nt
Filed under: soil metagenome
Description: partial contains 5.8S ribosomal RNA, internal transcribed spacer 2, and large subunit ribosomal RNA
Rfam family: 5.8S ribosomal RNA (bases 1-120)
Source: RNAcentral
GAUGAAGAACGUAGCAAAAUGCGAUAAGUAAUGUGAAUUGCAGAAUUCAGUGAAUCAUCGAGUCUUUGAACGCACAUUGCGCCCGCCAGUAUUCUGGCGGGCAUGCCUGUUCGAGCGUCAUUUCAACCCUCAAGCUCAGCUUGGUGUUGGGACUCGCGGUAACCCGCGUUCCCCAAAUCGAUUGGCGGUCACGUCGAGCUUCCAUAGCGUAGUAAUCAUACACCUCGUUACUGGUAAUCGUCGCGGCCACGCCGUAAAACCCCAACUUCUGAAUGUUGACCUCGGAUCAGGUAGGAAUACCCGCUGAACUUAAGCAUAUCAAUAAGCGGAGGA